GAUGGGAGAAGCUAAGCCCAGACCAGGGUCCACGUACUCAGUCACUAAAGAAGUACCGAUUUCAGGGCCCAGGAAGUUCCAGAGAGUGAUGGCUGGGUAGGAACUCCCCCCAGCUACUGGGUAAUGCCACAACCACCCCCAGGCUGCAGAGGCACAAGCCUCCCACUUGCAGGAAUGCCUGGGCUCAUGCAGGCUCUGCUUGAGCUAGUGAGCUCUAAUGAAGGCAGAGCCAGGCUGGAGAAGCCCAGCCUUCCAGGGCCCUGGAUAGGCACCCUGCGGAGAGAUGAUCCUGGGAAGUUCUAGAGAGUAUCCAAGAGCAGUGGCAGCAGCCUGUAAUGUUCAGAGAUUGAUGGAGCCCCACUGACCAACAGCAGCAAAAGAAGUAACUCAUUCCUGGCUCGGAGGAAUUAUCCUGUGGUAUCUGCUUGUUGCCAGAACUUACUGUCAAC
Molecule: long non-coding RNA, 449 nt
Filed under: Mus musculus (house mouse)
Lineage: Eukaryota; Metazoa; Chordata; Mammalia; Rodentia; Muridae
Description: predicted gene 45181
Source: RNAcentral